GAGUCCCCCACGCUCUCUACCGAGCUCUCCACGCCGAUCCCCUUCGCCGCCGCUCGCCGGCGAUCUCCAGCCGCCCGCCACCGCCGCUCCCGUCGCUGCCGCGCUGCGCCGCCGCCACCAAUAGCAUCACAGCGCCUCGCCGCACCCCGGCAUCCACUCCAUCUCCCUCCUCCACCGCCGGAACCACCUUCCCAUCACGAGGCCGAGCCACUACCGCCACACACCGCCUUCAGCCGGCCGCUGCCGCCGCGUUAGUCGUCGCCGCACCUCGCCGCUUGCGCCGUCGGCAACGCCGUGCCAAGAUCUACCCCGGCCUCCGCUCCGUUUCCCCAUUCCACCACCGCAACCACCCUUCCACCGUGCAUCCCGAGCCACCUCCACCAUACGCCGCCUCCAGCCGUGUGCCACCGUCGCCUUAGCCGCCGCCGCGUCGCUCCGUCUUCACCUCUCGCCUUGCAGCGCCGUGCAGCACCUCGGUCACCAUUGUUCAUCGCCGGAAACCCACCGGAACGUGGUAUCUCUCGGUCGCCGGUCUUGCUGGCCCUCGGCCGCGGCUCCGCCAUGGUCGGGCGUCGUCGGAACGCCGUUCCCGUCGCCUCCCGUGCCGGCCGCCGCCAUCCUUUCCGCCGCCGGUCGCCUCCCCAUGGUCGUCCCGUCGCCGGCGCUCCUCGCGUGUAGUUUCCGUCGUUUCGGAAGUCCGCGGUCGCGAGGAAAAG
Molecule: long non-coding RNA, 716 nt
Organism: Oryza sativa Japonica Group (Japanese rice)
Lineage: Eukaryota; Viridiplantae; Streptophyta; Magnoliopsida; Poales; Poaceae
Source: RefSeq, a predicted model, not a curated record